CCUACGGGUGGCAGCAGUGGGGAAUAUUGCACAAUGGGGGAAACCCUGAUGCAGCGAAGCCGCGUGAGUGAAGAAGUAUCUCGGUACGUAAAGCUCUAUCAGCAGGGAAGAAAAUGACGGUACCUGACUAAGAAGCCCCGGCUAACUACGUGCCAGCCGUCGCGGUAAUACGUAGGGGGCAAGCGUUAUCCGGAUUUACUGGGUGUAAAGGGAGCGUAGACGGCAGAACAAGUCUGGAGUGAAAUCCCGGGGCUUAACCCCGGAACUGCUGUUGAAACUGUGCGGCUGGAGUGCAGGAGGGGUAAGCGGAAUUCGUGGUGUAGCGGUGAAAUGCGUAGAUAUUAGGAAGAACACCGGUUGCGAAGGCGGCUUACUGGACUGUAACUGACGUUGAGGCUCGAAAGCGUGGGGAGCAAACAGGAUUAGAUACCCCAGUAGUC
RNAcentral lists this ribosomal RNA (440 nucleotides) under uncultured bacterium. Its description in RNAcentral is "partial 16S ribosomal RNA". It matches the Rfam family "Bacterial small subunit ribosomal RNA", at positions 338 to 795 of the family's 1533-position model. The record is from RNAcentral.